CGUAGGGCGCAAGCGUUGUCCGGAAUUAUUGGGCGUAAAGAGCUUGUAGGUGGCUUGUCGCGUCUGCCGUGAAAACCCGAGGCUCAACCUCGGGCGUGCGGUGGGUACGGGCAGGCUAGAGUGUGGUAGGGGAGACUGGAACUCCUGGUGUAGCGGUGAAAUGCGCAGAUAUCAGGAAGAACACCGAUGGCGAAGGCAGGUCUCUGGGCCAUUACUGACACUGAGAAGCGAAAGCAUGGGUAGCGAACAGGA
Molecule: ribosomal RNA, 252 nt
Filed under: uncultured Brachybacterium sp.
Lineage: Bacteria; Bacillati; Actinomycetota; Actinomycetes; Micrococcales; Dermabacteraceae
Description: partial 16S ribosomal RNA
Rfam family: Bacterial small subunit ribosomal RNA
Source: RNAcentral